This 492-nucleotide ribosomal RNA is filed under the name uncultured bacterium. RNAcentral's name for it is "partial 16S ribosomal RNA". It matches the Rfam family "Bacterial small subunit ribosomal RNA", at positions 29 to 507 of the family's 1533-position model. The record is from RNAcentral.
AGUGAACGCUGGCGGUAGGCCUAACACAUGCAAGUCGAACGGCAGCACAGUAAGAGCUUGCUCUUACGGGUGGCGAGUGGCGGACGGGAGAGGAAUACAUCCGAAUCUACUUUUUCGUGGGGGAUAACGUAGGGAAACCUACGCUAAUACCGCAUACGAUCUACGGGUGAAAGCAGGGGAUCUUCGGACCUUGCGCGAAUGAAUGAGCCGAUGUCGGAUUAGCUAGUUGGCGGGGUGAUGGCCCACCAAGGCGACGAUCCGUAGCUGGUCUGAGAGGAUGAUCAGCCACACUGGAACUGAGACACGGUCCAGAGUCCUACGAGAGGCAGCAGUGGGGAAUAUUGGACAGUGGGCGCAAGCCUGGUCCAGCCAUACCGCGUGGGUGAAGGAGGCCUUCGGGUUGUAAAGCCCUUUUGUUGGGAAAGAAAAGCAGCAGGUUAAUACCCAGCUGUUCUGACGGUACCGAAAGAAUAAGCACCGGCUAACUUCGUG